RNAcentral lists this ribosomal RNA (104 nucleotides) under Akkermansia muciniphila. Its description in RNAcentral is "partial 23S ribosomal RNA". It matches the Rfam family "Bacterial large subunit ribosomal RNA", at positions 2828 to 2925 of the family's 2925-position model. The record is from RNAcentral. Lineage: Bacteria; Pseudomonadati; Verrucomicrobiota; Verrucomicrobiia; Verrucomicrobiales; Akkermansiaceae.
UACAGGUUCGUGGAAGACCACCACGUUGAUAGGUCGCAGGUGUAAGUGCAGCAAUGUAUUGAGCCAAGCGAUACUAAUUACCAAUUGACUUCAUCAUAUUACAU